RNAcentral lists this ribosomal RNA (305 nucleotides) under uncultured bacterium. Its description in RNAcentral is "bacterial SSU rRNA". It matches the Rfam family "Bacterial small subunit ribosomal RNA", at positions 335 to 657 of the family's 1533-position model. The record is from RNAcentral.
AUGCCUCCGGGAGGCAGCAGUGGGGAAUAUUGCACAAUGGGGGAAACCCUGAUGCAGCGACGCCGCGUGAGUGAGGAAGUAUUUCGGUAUGUAAAGCUCUAUCAGCAGGGAAGAAAAUGACGGUACCUGACUAAGAAGCCCCGGCUAACUACGUGCCAGCAGCCGCGGUAAUACGUAGGGGGCAAGCGUUAUCCGGAUUUACUGGGUGUAAAGGGAGCGUAGGCGGCCUGGCAAGCCUGAUGUGAAAUACCGGGGCCCAACCCCGGGGCUGCAUUGGGAACUGCCAGGCUGGAGGGCCGGAGAGG